UAGGGAAUCUUCCACAAUGGACGCAAGUCUGAUGGAGCAACGCCGCGUGAGUGAAGAAGGGUUUCGGCUCGUAAAGCUCUGUUGUUGGUGAAGAAGGACAGGGGUAGUAACUGACCUUUGUUUGACGGUAAUCAAUUAGAAAGUCACGGCUAACUACGUGCCAGCAGCCGCGGUAAUACGUAGGUGGCAAGCGUUGUCCGGAUUUAUUGGGCGUAAAGCGAGUGCAGGCGGUUCAAUAAGUCUGAUGUGAAAGCCUUCGGCUCAACCGGAGAAUUGCAUCAGAAACUGUUGAACUUGAGUGCAGAAGAGGAGAGUGGAACUCCAUGUGUAGCGGUGGAAUGCGUAGAUAUAUGGAAGAACACCAGUGGCGAAGGCGGCUCUCUGGUCUGUUACUGACGCUGAGGCUCGAAAGCAUGGGUAGCGAACAGG
This 429-nucleotide ribosomal RNA is filed under the name uncultured Lactobacillus sp. RNAcentral's name for it is "bacterial SSU rRNA". It matches the Rfam family "Bacterial small subunit ribosomal RNA", at positions 355 to 776 of the family's 1533-position model. Lineage: Bacteria; Bacillati; Bacillota; Bacilli; Lactobacillales; Lactobacillaceae. The record is from RNAcentral.